GCUACAUGGUCGGCUACGGCAGCUACUUCCCGACGCACGUGCACCACCGCGGCGCGUCCAUCCCGUCCGUCCACGGCGAGAAGGCCACGGUCGGGUGCAUGGACGGCUUCGACAAGUACUACAACAGCAAGGGCGCUGACCCCAACGUGCUCAACGGCGCCAUCGUCGGCGGGCCUGACGGCAACGACGGAUUCGUCGACGACCGCUGCAACUACCAGAGCGCCGAGCCCACCAUCGCCGGGAACGCGCCCAUCUGCGGCGUCUUCGCCCGCCUCGCCUCC
Molecule: long non-coding RNA, 281 nt
Filed under: Setaria viridis
Lineage: Eukaryota; Viridiplantae; Streptophyta; Magnoliopsida; Poales; Poaceae
Description: long non-coding RNA (SVIR_LNC002518)
Source: RNAcentral